GUUUGAUCCUGGCUCAGAUUGAACGCUGGCGGCAUGCCUUACACAUGCAAGUCGAACGGCAGCAUGGGUGCUUGCACCUGAUGGCGAGUGGCGAACGGGUGAGUAAUGCAUCGGAACGUACCCGGAAGUGGGGGAUAACGUAGCGAAAGUUACGCUAAUACCGCAUAUUCUGUGAGCAGGAAAGCGGGGGAUCGCAAGACCUCGCGCUUCCGGAGCGGCCGAUGUCGGAUUAGCUAGUUGGCGGGGUAAAAGGCCCACCAAGGCAACGAUCCGUAGCGGGUCUGAGAGGAUGAUCCGCCACACUGGGACUGAGACACGGCCCAGACUCCUACGGGAGGCAGCAGUGGGGAAUUUUGGGACAAUGGGGGCAACCCUGAUCCAGCCAUGCCGCGUGAGUGAAGAAGGCCUCGGUGUAAG
This 417-nucleotide ribosomal RNA is filed under the name uncultured bacterium. RNAcentral describes it as "bacterial SSU rRNA". It matches the Rfam family "Bacterial small subunit ribosomal RNA", at positions 11 to 429 of the family's 1533-position model. The record is from RNAcentral.